Molecule: transfer RNA, 98 nt
Organism: Cladophialophora yegresii CBS 114405
Lineage: Eukaryota; Fungi; Ascomycota; Eurotiomycetes; Chaetothyriales; Herpotrichiellaceae
Rfam family: tRNA
About the family: Transfer RNA (tRNA) molecules are approximately 80 nucleotides in length.
Source: Rfam
UCCACGAUGGUGUAACGGUAACAUAGCUGGCUUUCAUUAGGAAGUCCUGAGUGCGCAACAUCACCCAGCAGCCCCGGGUUCAACUCCCGGUCGUGGAA